RNAcentral lists this transfer RNA (76 nucleotides) under Escherichia coli. RNAcentral's name for it is "tRNA-Val". It matches the Rfam family "tRNA". Rfam says of the family: Transfer RNA (tRNA) molecules are approximately 80 nucleotides in length. Their secondary structure includes four short double-helical elements and three loops (D, anti-codon, and T loops). The record is from RNAcentral. RNAcentral also lists the same sequence under 4 other names. Lineage: Bacteria; Pseudomonadati; Pseudomonadota; Gammaproteobacteria; Enterobacterales; Enterobacteriaceae.
GGGUGAUUAGCUCAGCUGGGAGAGCACCUCCCUUACAAGGAGGGGGUCGGCGGUUCGAUCCCAUCAUCACCCACCA